AUUGAACGCUGGCGGCAGGCCUAACACAUGCAAGUCGAACGGUAACAGGAAGCAGCUUGCUGCUUUGCUGACGAGUGGCGGACGGGUGAGUAAUGUCUGGGAAACUGCCUGAUGGAGGGGGAUAACUACUGGAAACGGUAGCUAAUACCGCAUAACGUCGCAAGACCAAAGAGGGGGACCUUCGGGCCUCUUGCCAUCGGAUGUGCCCAGAUGGGAUUAGCUAGUAGGUGGGGUAAAGGCUCACCUAGGCGACGAUCCCUAGCUGGUCUGAGAGGAUGACCAGCCACACUGGAACUGAGACACGGUCCAGACUCCUACGGGAGGCAGCAGUGGGGAAUAUUGAACAGUGGGCGCAAGCCUGAUGCAGCCAUGCCGCGUGUAUGAAGAAGGCCUUCGGGUUGUAAAGUACUUUCAGCGGGGAGGAAGGGAGUAAAGUUAAUACCUUUGCUCAUUGACGUUACCCGCAGAAGAAGCACCGGCUAACUCCGU
RNAcentral lists this ribosomal RNA (489 nucleotides) under uncultured bacterium. RNAcentral describes it as "partial 16S ribosomal RNA". It matches the Rfam family "Bacterial small subunit ribosomal RNA", at positions 30 to 506 of the family's 1533-position model. The record is from RNAcentral.